GAUGAACGCUGGCGGCGUGCCUAAUACAUGCAAGUCGAGCGAACGGACGAGAAGCUUGCUUCUCUGAUGUUAGCGGCGGACGGGUGAGUAACACGUGGAUAACCUACCUAUAAGACUGGGAUAACUUCGGGAAACCGGAGCUAAUACCGGAUAAUAUUUUGAACCGCAUGGUUCAAAAGUGAAAGACGGUCUUGCUGUCACUUAUAGAUGGAUCCGCGCUGCAUUAGCUAGUUGGUAAGGUAACGGCUUACCAAGGCAACGAUGCAUAGCCGACCUGAGAGGGUGAUCGGCCACACUGGAACUGAGACACGGUCCAGACUCCUACGGGAGGCAGCAGUAGGGAAUCUUCCGCAAUGGGCGAAAGCCUGACGGAGCAACGCCGCGUGAGUGAUGAAGGUCUUCGGAUCGUAAAACUCUGAUAUUAGGGAAGAACACAUGUGUAAGUAACUGUGCACAUCUUGACGGUACCUAAUCAGAAAGCCACGGCUAACUACGUG
This 497-nucleotide ribosomal RNA is filed under the name uncultured bacterium. RNAcentral describes it as "partial 16S ribosomal RNA". It matches the Rfam family "Bacterial small subunit ribosomal RNA", at positions 28 to 507 of the family's 1533-position model. The record is from RNAcentral.